This 1428-nucleotide long non-coding RNA is filed under the name Equus caballus (horse). Its description in RNAcentral is "lncRNA (ENSECAG00000045460.1)". Lineage: Eukaryota; Metazoa; Chordata; Mammalia; Perissodactyla; Equidae. The record is from RNAcentral.
UGAAAAUGCUAUAAAGUCUCAUUACCUUUGGGCUGAUUAUCAGAGAAAAGUGAGUAGCCAUAAUCAGUGAAAAGUGAUUUAAGGAAGUAAGAAAAAUAUUUAGCGUGAUUUAAAAAGUUACUAUUAACUAGAAUUAUGUCCAGGGCCGGGCACAUAAUGUUAGGGGCAGUUAUUCUUGUUUCCAGGAUGUAGGAACAGUUGGAAUUAGCACGAGGCUUGCUAUGACGGUGGUAAACCAGGGUCCUCCUCAUUCGCUGCCACCUGGACAGAGGCUGGCGCCCUGCCCUGAGCACACUGUGAUGGAUCUGUGACUGCAGGAGGAAGACAUGGGCAAUGAGCAGCUCACUCUGCUGGGAGACGCGCAGGGGUGGUCAGGGCAGGCUUCCCAGAGGAGGUGCACUUGAGGAUGGAGAAGGGCAGGGAUGUGCAUUCCAGGGUCCGGAAUGGCCUGAAACAAUGCACUGCGCUGUGAAAGACGAGGCCCUCCCAGGCGAUGGUGCACAGAGAUGGUGGGUUCUGUGAUCGAGGAACCCUCUCUCUGGCUUCAGCUCUGCUAAGGGACGUUCCUAACGGCAGCGUUUUUCUGGAGAACGCAGCGUCCAGGCACCCGGGCUGUGUUGGAAGGGGCCUUGUGACCUCCUCAGCAGAUCCUCUGAGGCCCAGAGCUGAGGGCCUGGGCACCUUCUGUCCUCUCAGGCCUCUGCUGCUCCCCACUCCCCAGUGCCUGGAGUCAGCCACGCUUGCCUGUCCACCUGUGUCCCCGUCUGCUCGUGGAGGCUCUGUCCCUUAGACAGCCACUCAGGGCUUCAAGCUUGUGAGGUCUGCACAGCUGCAGUCACCUAGGAAACAGUGUUCAGGGAGUCUGCCCGGGAGAGGCAGCAGGGGACAAAUGCCAGAGCCCUGCGGGGCUCCGAGUUCUGACCUGAGUGGUCCCACUGGGGGCCUGCUGGGGACAAGGUCUUCCUCAAAGGUGUCCAGCUCGGAGCAGGCCAUGGCUCCCCUUGCUGGGGGCGGCUCGCCCCGGCCACCCACCCCAGACCCCCAGUGGGACCCUCUGUUUGCCCCCUCCUCGGCCCCAAUCCUGGUAAUGGAGCCGCUCAGCCCCCGAGCCGACUGAGGGCAGGUCGCCGGGUGGACGGGCAGGGCCUUCCCUGGGGGUUGAGGCCUCCCCGGGGUCUGCGGUCUGCAUUUCCUGGGCCUGAGAAAGGGCUCCCCGUGUAAGUAAGGAGCUGAGCUGGCCAGGUCCCGAGCAGCAGGAGCGGGCAGGAGAGGAGCUGGACGUGCAGAGCCCGGAGUGGACACGCUGGAGGCUGAGGCUCUUGCAGCCAGGCCUCAGCUUCCCCACCCGUGACACGGACACACUGGGCCGGCGGGCGGUGCUGAAUUUCGUGAGCUAGUCCACAUUCCAAAGUCAAAUUGGGGUUGAGG